RNAcentral lists this unclassified non-coding RNA (23 nucleotides) under Mus musculus (house mouse). RNAcentral's name for it is "oocyte_clustered_small_RNA6835". Lineage: Eukaryota; Metazoa; Chordata; Mammalia; Rodentia; Muridae. The record is from RNAcentral.
UGGAUGCCUGCACGCGAAUGCAA